AGGGGCCCUGGGACCUGGCGCCAGCUUCCUUGCCUGGCCAGCUGCCUUUGCACACUGCAGGUGGCCAGAAUUUCCUGGAUCCCCAGGGAAAAAGGAGCAUGUUGGAAGAGACCAUGCAGUAGAAGUCUCCUCAUCACAGGUCACAUUCCUAGAGGGAGGAGUUCCAGCUACCCAAGAGGAUGCUCCAUUAACGUCCUUAACUCACUGACCAAUGAACAGCCAAAGCUGGGCACUGCAUAGAUGCUAGAAACGUGAAAAUGAGGAUGAGGGCAAUGGCAGUAACAGCCUUCAAGUGUCUUCCUUCUAGAAGACUGAUGACUUGGUAAAAGGAAAAAGGAAUUUUCCUGUUACAUAAGUUCCACUUUUUCUUCCCUACUCUUUGUUUUUCACACAUAUAUAUAUUAUAUUUAUA
This 412-nucleotide long non-coding RNA is filed under the name Sus scrofa (pig). Its description in RNAcentral is "lncRNA (ENSSSCG00025041398.1)". Lineage: Eukaryota; Metazoa; Chordata; Mammalia; Artiodactyla; Suidae. The record is from RNAcentral.